GCACCCCUUCCUCUCCGCCGCACCCCACAGCCAGUGACCUUCCUCUCCACCACACUCCACAGCCAGCAACCUUCCUCUCCGCCGCAGCCUGCAGCUCUCCACCGCAGCCCACAGCUGCAACCUACAGCAACCUCUGCCUCUCCACCGCAGCCCAUAGCCGCAACCCACGGCCAGCACCUCUGUUUUCUUUCAUUAACAACCAGUCCACUGCCACGGCUAAAACCGGUCCAAUUUGACUGGUUUCUCUAAUCCAUCGUUGAUUUCUGGUAAGUGUUGUCUCUUUUCGUAGGUAAAUUAUCCCAACAUGUACUGUAAUAAACUGCAUAAAUGGCGUGUAGCCAACAUGUACUUAAUUGAAUAUAUCACAUAAAUCACUUCAUAGAUCAUAACCAGAUUAUGUAUAAGCUUAUUCAAUUUUUUAAAUACAUUGUUUGCAACACUGAAUUUAAGGUAACAUGCUAUUACCAAGAUGAAAUUAGGCCAAAAUAUACUUACACCUGAAGUUUAGUACACUUUACCUGAAGUGCAAAUUGUUGAGAAAGUUGCUUUGGCUGGAUAUGUAUGUCGCAAUGAGAAGAAAUAGCUUCUUUUUUUUUUCUUCCCUGUGAGAGAAAAAAGGAAGAGAUGCUUUUGAGUUUUGAGCAACAUUACUAGCUUCCUAGAAAUAGAUCCUUUUUUUUUAAUUAUGGAGACAACUGUACCCAAUCUACAAUCCACAGUUUUCAAACUCGGGAUAAAACUUGAAUCAAUAAGCUUUCUGUUCAUGGUUCAACUGGGUCAAUGAUAUAAUAUUUUUUAAUUAUUUUAAUAUUACAUAAUUAGGAUGACAUUGAAAUAUUUUUUUAAAAAAAUAGUGAAAAAUGGUUCAAAAGCCUGGUUAAAAAAUACUGAGUACGUUUGGAUAGUGGAUUAUUUGGAAUAAUUGUGCAAAUAUUUAUUUGUUGACUUUUUGAAAAGUAUGGGUGAAAGAUAAUUGUUUGGAUAACAUGAGUAUAUUUCAAAUAGGUGUUUGGACACUUUAACAAUUAUUUGUCGAAUUUAUUCCAAAUAAGUGUUUGGAUAGCUUAACAAUUAUUUAAGUGCAAUGGGAAAGUCAUUCCAAUCACUUUGGAGCACAUUAAGUAAAUUGUUUAUAAAUAAACUUUCAAUUUUGGAUAAAAGCAGAUUAAUCCAAUACAAACCAUACACAUCUUAUCGAAUAUUACAUGGAACAUCCGAAACUUCUAUACGAUUUGAGGGGAAGUCUAAUUGAUACAUCAUAGUAGAAGGAAUGGAAGUUUAUUCGUUAUACCCUCAAUAAAAGCUUGGCAACCAUCUGGUCCCUUGCAAAAAGUAGAAAUGCAACUGGAGCGGCCCCGGCGCAGCCAUUAUUUAGUAUUACGCCGGUCCAAAGUAUGCCCCUGAGUUUCUAACGCCUUCUCUUACAUUGCGCGCCAUACAUUUCAGUUGCAAUCGCAUCUCGCCUAGCUUUCCAAGCCAUAAUCUCAGCUCGGGAUGCAUUCAAUGGCUGCACGUAAGGUAACUCACCGCCACUCUGUUGGUGCUCUAAUCUAACAUUACCGUCCUCAGCCAGUUGAAAAUGGGUGUCGCCUGGUUGGUGUAAGCGAAGAAAGUUGUGCAAUACACAACAAGCUAUAACAACAUUGACUUGAGUGGUCAUAUAAAAAUUUGGAACCGAUCCCUUCAAAAAUUUAAAUCUGUUCUUCAGAACUCCAAAUGUUCGUUCAAUGACAUUUCUAAGUUCCGAGUGGCGCAUAUUAAAUAAAAUUUUUUCAGGACUGGCCCGUGCUGCAUUCUUAUACGGUGGUAAGAAGCCUGGAACAUUCUUAUAUGCAGCAUCUACAAGGUAGUAUUUACCUUAAAUUGAAAAACGAAAACGAUUAGUUUUAUGAUGGCAGUUUACUUUUUAUGAAAACUUUAUAGUACUAUAUGUUGACCAAUAAAGUACCACUAAAAAAUAUACUACCUUGUUUAAAAUCCAGCUAAUUUAAAUAGAACAAACACAGAUUUAUAAUUUAAAAAAUUAGCAUGUUACUGAAAUAUCUGAAAUUUUUUUAAAGUACUAAAAUUACCUUUAAAAAAUGCUAUAUUCGUAAGUAGUUGUUAAUAGCACAAGCCAAAAAAAUAAAUCCACUAUUUUAUGGACUUAUGUGUGACAAAAUUGUAGUAAAUGAUUUAUACACACCAUCCAAAAAGUAGCAUAUACUUAAAUAGGUGCAGCAAAUAUAAUACAAGAGAGUUACCUUCAGGUGCCAUUGGGAAGUCUGACGGGUGUGACAGAGCAUCAUCUAACACUCGGGUAUCGUGUGCACUUCCCUCCCACCCAGCAUAUAUGUACGUGAAUCGCAUAUCGAAAUCACAUAUUGUCAGUAGAUUUUGCGACUGAAAUCCAUGUCGAUUUGUAUACGCCAUUUAGUGACCUGAGGGCGGGCACGCCGGAAUGUGAGUGCCAUCAAUUGCUCCCACUGCAUCCUGCAUUUCCCAACAAGAUAAAAUUUUAAUUUCUCUCUUACAAAUACGUUGUGAGUUUUGAGAUGGAAGAUCACUGCCAAAAUUUGUCAUUUUGAAUUUAGAUCAUUCACAGCCUAACCUUGAACCACGAGAAGUAUUUUGUCGAAUUUUCGAUCCUUGGAUGCACCUGAUCGUAGUCAAAAGGGCGAAUUAUUUGUGAAGCAAACAUACAAAGACCGCGCAGGACCUCCCUUACAUUGCGGUUAAUUGUCUCCGUUGAUCUAUCGAAACGCUCUGCCAAAACUCGUUGUUGGGCACUAUGACUUACCAUUACCAAAGCCAUGGCCAGUGCCUCCUCGAUUUUCACUCGUUUUUGAUAGUUUUGAGGUACGUACUUAUUGUAUUUUAGUAUGUCACAAAGUAGGAGGAAAUUGUCAACCGAAAUAUGACAAUUUUCGAUAAUUCAUUUGUAGUGACCAUUGAUCAACUCCUCAACCCAUUGACGCCCUAUGAGUGAGCCAUCAUGGUGUGGAAUUUUGAGUUUCGGACCUCCAUACCUUUCUACCUCCGAAUGUAGAAGUAUCAACUCAGCUGCAAGUCCAAGUAGCAAGGCAUCCUGGUUAUCAUCUGAUGCUUCGUCAUUGCUUGAACUACUAUUUCGGGAGCGAUUCAUAUCCCCUGGAGUAAAUACACAGCAAGAGAGUAUAUAGUUACACCAAGUGGGCUUUGUCCUUUGAAUAUUACAACAAGGGAGUUAAGCAAGAACUGAACAAGGAAGCUUUUAUUAAAAAAAAAAUUGAGAGCCGAUACUUAAACCUUCUACUCACGGGGCGUUCUGUUAUGUCGUUCGACGAACGGGAGCUUUGUCUUCGAAGCAGAGUGUUUCUUGCUGCUUUCCCCCAAAGUAGAGAAUUGUAAUAUGUGAUAUGCAUAGACACGGGCUCUUGUUAACAUAUAUAUAGAGCUCUGGAGACCUGCUAUCUUUUCAAACCACGGGCGCAUUAUUGUUCUUCUACUCGAGCCCUUGUUGAUAGAAUAGGCCACCGUUCCAGAAAUGCACGUACCGGCACUUGUGGCUAUCGGUGUCAUUCCUUUGGACAAUUGUUUCACAUGCCACGCCUUACCAGAUAUGACCACUCCCACCAGGCUGUUUUUGCUAUAAUUGUACAGGUUGUCGGCUUUUUUCCCCCAAUGUGUAUAUAUUCCUGACUCUCUAUCGUGACUACAUCACAUAAUAUAGAAUUUUGUAGAUUCGUAAAGAUUCGUACCUUAAGUGCUUUAAGAAAAAAGACAAACUAAUGUACAUUGCCAUUUUAAGUUAAAAUAUUGAAGGUGUGGGACUUUUGGUGCAAUUGUACGAUAUCUAGCCUUGAAAUGUCCUAACACUUGCAACCAUACUAUUGGGAUUACACAAAUCCAAUAACAUGUCCCCUUUAUAAAGACCAAGCAAACCUAAGCCACGUUUUUAUUUAUUUACCAAUUUCACAAUUCACUCAAGCACCUGCACUAAUACACAACAAGUGGCCGUUCAUUAAGGCCGAAAAACCUGUACAAUUAAUUGGUGGCUAGAAGCUUGAUGCCACCCAUUUAUAAUAGCUCAACAAGGUGUCGUCAGUAUUAACGCCACCCUAUAAGUACACUCAAUUGUAAAUACAGAAUAGGAUAGUCCAGUGCCACCCAUUAAUUCCCUCCCACCCGCAUUUUGAAUAACCAAAUAAAUACACUCAACAUACACUUAUUCAAGAAAGUACACUUAAUUGUUUUUAACAAAUGCUACAUCUCAAGACACAAGUCUAGGAAUUGCAGUUCAGAACACACAAUAAAGAAGCAACCGAUACAUAAGCUAAGUAAAGUUCAGCCACCAUUCUAGAAAUUUCAACCAAACAAAGGAAAUUGACACAAGCAGACAAAGGAAAUUGACAGAAGCCGUUGUGCACAGAUCUGAUGCUUCACUGUGGGGGCUUGCCAUAGCGAAGCUCCUCCAUAAUGAGUUCAAUGUAAUCAUAGCGCUCGGCAUCAUCAAAGCGUACGAAUGCACAUCUUUGUCCCGCAUUUCUUCUUUCGGCAAAGUACAUUUUCGUUUUCAGCUUAACCGAUUUUGGAAAUUGCAUUUUUUUCACCAUGUCUUGAACUACCGGUACACUGUAUUCUGCUUCCUCUUCAUACUGACUUUGAUUAAAUUCAUGCGAAGCGGUGGUGACACGAGAGAUUUUGCUGAUUGCAUCAUCUAGUCUUUCCCUAUCACUAGAUGAUUUUGUUGAUUUAGCACCUCUAGAUCCCUCACGAUCUCCGAGAGUGCCAAGACUUGAGGCAAAAUGCUUUCCAGAUGACGCUCCAGGUACCGGAGGUAUGUAGUAUACGUCCUCUCCCUCCCAAGGGUACUGCUGGUAGCCAGAGGUAGCUGAACUUGUGGCUGCAGCCUUUCCUUUGCUCUUUUGUGGCUUUCCAACAACUGGCCGUCGAUGUUCGCCCUCGAGGACAGGUUGCUUUGCAGAUUGUGCAUAGCUACCUGUUGCAGUUUUUCCUAAUGUUGUUGAAGUAUACAGAUCAUAUAGGAAGCAACUUCCAGCCACUUUGAAAUCUUUGUACUCUUUGUUCACCUAAACAAUACAAAACAAAAAAGUUAGUUCUCUACCAACAUUUAAAUUUAUGAGAAGUAGGAGGAAUGUACGCCCAUGUAAUAUGAUAGAAGCUUUCUCAAAUAAUAUGCUUAUGUAAAAAAAAGCGCAACGAUACAACACACUCUAAAACUGGUUGGUGAAAGCAGCAAACCUGGUUUGAUUAUUAACUGCCAUCAUCUAAAAAUUGAUUAAGUGUUUUUGGUAUACACUUCGGCUCAAGACUAGUCUGCAUAUCUAUUAGUAUGGCAGCAAGUUGGGCACAAAGAAAAAAUAAGAAAGGAUAAGUAGCAGGUAUUUCAAUAGUCGCUUACCGCUUCCAUUUGGGCCCAGUGCUCGUCGGAAGCCGUAAUGCAGUUAUUCUCUUCAUCCCAGCCAAUCCCAGUCUCCGCUUUCGAUGACAAACCACGAAAAUUGGCAAACACGUUCCACUUCUUCCUAAACCUAUACAUUCUUGAUUGGCAUUGGCCUCCGGUGACUUGCAUCUCAAAUUGUUCCAGCAAACAUGUGGCAAGCAUAUCAUAAUUCUGGUCAUUUGUCUUGUGAUUAUCUCAUUUCUUCGUUUGCUUCCACUCAACAUAGGUGGUGAUGAAGUUGAAGUCCAUGGUAGAAGUCCACUACAAUUUCUCGUUCAUCUGCUACAUAUAAGAACACAAAUUUUACCAUUAAAAGUUAAAACAUGGCAGGUAAAUGUGACUAAUUCUGCCCCAACAAUUUGUAAAUAGAAUAGUAGAAGUGUUAAGGGCAAACGUGAUUUACAUGCUGAUUGUAGUUCUCCAUACACAGUUGAUAGUUAUUUGAAGCGAUGGAUGGUCUGGAAGACUCAAAGGAUGUGCAGCUAGUAGGAGAGGCUACAAAUAGAAGAAUUGAUUUCAGUUAUACACCAUGAACGAAUAUAUGAUACUUAUAAAGGUUAGAGGGACUUACAAUGGGAGUCAAUUUUUUGUUUAGCUGCGGUCAUUGGCUGAAUGAGCAAUGCAUUGAGCCAAUCGAAUACAUAACAACUCAAAUUGCAAUACCUAUAUCCAAAACAGGUGCAGCAGAUGUCAAUUUUUUUUUUACUUUUACUACUGAGCCUACUUUUGAACAAAGUCCACACCAAAUAUCCGUUCAAUCUAAAGAACGAAUACAGCGAAGGAAAUUUAUUUUCAUAAGUCUAUUUUUUCAUUUUUCGUUAUGAGUGUAAGCAGAAAUGAAUGAAUACAUUUUAACAGAUGCUACAACAGUCUCAUUUCUAAGCAACAAAAACAGUAACUUAGUGCCUCUUUAAUUUCAAUUAACUUUUAAGCAAUUUUAGCUUCAAUGACCUGGAACAAAUAUCUGUGCAGAAAUAAUACCAAACCGUUCCACCUCGCUACAUAUACAUUUCCAGACCUAUGGAUCUAAUAUAUCAAUUUUUCAAGUCUCUUAAUUUCUGUUAAUAAUCGUUCCCUGGCUGCAUGCAAAUAAAGAUGACCCUUUAGACACCCAUGCUAAUCACAUCCAUUUACAGGAUAAAUAAAUAUGGUACAAGAUAAAUAAUCGGACACCCAUGCUACCAUAGAGUAGCGUGCAAUUUAUAAACUCUCUAUUAGACAACCAAGCAAUCUUGAGCCGUAUACAAAAACAGAAUAGUAGUAUACAAAAAAAUAAAAAAAAAUCCGCCACAAUUCUAGAUAGAAUUUACUAUCUAGCUUCUCCAUUCUGUUAGGAAAAAAUUGAGCAUAAUAAACUGCAGGCACUCCUAUUGAUGUGUAACAUGUACCACUAGCAAUCAAAAUCCUAAUACCACCAUAUGCCACUUAACAGGUAACUGUUCUAAAGCAGAUAUUCUAACAUGAGGAACUACUAGUGAAACAGCCAUUGGUACUGAAAUAAAUUAUUAGUUUUAUCCACAUAAUAUCGGAUAAGAUUCUAUCCAGUUGAUUCAACUAAUUUGUUUAUCUGGCAGCCAAAACAGAGAAAUAAGUACGAAUAUGGCCUACUUCGGAUUGUUUUUUCUUUCCUUGUGGAAAACGAAAUAAUGCACUACAAUGUGAAAUCCGUUGAUAUGUAAUUGUUGGUUAAUUGCUUUGCGUAACAAUUAUGAAUAGCAGAUCUUUUGUUAGAUCCAAUUAUUUUUGUUGCUAACUGAUGAACUUCAGAGAAAUCUUUCAAACUCUAGUACCAGGAUCUACAUUCAAACGAGUUAAACAAUUAAAAUUAUAUCCAGAAUUUUUAAGGCAUCAACAAUUAACAGGUCAUAAAUGACCAACUUAAUACAACUACAUUGCAUAAAUAGAUCCGCCACUGUUUGGAUCUAAAAAAAGGUUUUUUGAUCUAUACUUCAUCAGAACAUCAGCCCAUAACAACAGGUCAAAACAUGCAAAUUUGGGUCGGUGCAAAUUAGUUGUUUCGAAGAGUAACUUCCCAGCAACCUAAAAGAAGGUCACCUGCUGUGCAGCUAUAGAAAAGGAAGGCUUCUUGACCCGCGGGGAAAAUAAAAGUGAAAGAUUGAGCAAAUACCUUGGAUUUAGCUGGAAUUUGUCUGCCAAAACCUUUUUUUCCUUCGCUGAAUUAGCAAAUUAUCCGUCGACGAAGGCUCAAGAUUUGUUAACUGAUCAGUGCUUUGCAUUGAAUUGAAGAAAUCAACUCUUCGUCCUGUACCAUGCGCUUGCUGACGGCUGCAAAAGUAACUUCAGAUGCGCAUGCGUUCGAUGGCUAUGGAUAUUUGGUGGAGAUGGACGAAUUUAAUUCAGUUUUGUAAAUGUUCAGCAUGUCGGGUGGUUGAUUCGUAAAGAGUAAAGCGUCCUGCAGCUUUGUGUGAUUUGCACUGUGGGACAACGUGCAUACACAAAGGGACAAAAAUAACGGGAAGUAAUCUUCAGCCGUUCAUCCAUUAUGUAAAUUGAGAUAAAGUACUAAAAAAAUGCUUACGUGGCAAGAGUUGGGAAAAAAAUCAGGCGUGAGUACAUUUGCUGGAUUAUUUAACCUAUCCAAACAUCCUAAGGCGCAUUAUCAGUAAUUUAUUCAGAUUAGAGCAAUCCAAACGCACUCACUACUAGUUAUGGAUGGCACGAGUUCAUGACUAGUUUAGUUCUAUUGAGUUGACAAAUAUUGGGUCAAAAUUAAGCGUACUUGGAAGGAUCAGUGCACUCUUUUUAGCAGUUGUAGCAGAAUGAUAAUGGAAGAACUCCUAUUAAUUUAAAUCCCGUUUGGAGCUGCUGUGUUAUAAAGAAACUCUUCUAAUACAAAUACUUCUAAUAAAAAGUGCUUUAAAUUAUCAAACCAAGAGUAUUUAUGUUACCAAAAAUUAGUCACCAAAUACUCUAGAAAUACUUUUAGUGAUCCUCGAAAAUACAUACUUUUAAUGCUUAAGAAGAUUUUUUUUUCUGCUGAAAUUGUUUGUUAUUCGUUGCAUAAAUGGUACUUCAGGUUUUAUUGCUAAUUUGGAUAAAUGCAUUUGUAGAAAUGGCGAAAAGCAAGCUGAAAAUAGUUAUUAAAUAUCAUAUGGACUUGACAACAUAUAUUCCUGCAUAUGUUUCUUAUGGACUUGACUCAAGUAUAUUUUCCCUUGUAAGUAAAAUAUAUCUUCUACUAGUUGUUUAUUUUGACAGCUCAUUUUAUCUUGUUAGGAGUUGUACCAUUCUUGUUUUCGUUUUGCAGGAACCACUCGAUGUUCCCGAAUUAUCUACAAUUGAAGAAAUUGAUCUUCCAGACAUUUGAAGGCUAUUUUUUAGAAUAUGU
This 8774-nucleotide long non-coding RNA is filed under the name Coffea arabica (coffee). Its description in RNAcentral is "long non-coding RNA (CARA_LNC004934)". The record is from RNAcentral. Lineage: Eukaryota; Viridiplantae; Streptophyta; Magnoliopsida; Gentianales; Rubiaceae.